CGGGUGAGUAACGCGUGGGUAACCUGCCUCAUACAGGGGGAUAACAGUUAGAAAUGACUGCUAAUACCGCAUAAGCGCACAAAACCGCAUGGUUUGGUGUGAAAAACUGAGGUGGUAUGAGAUGGACCCGCGUCUGAUUAGCUAGUUGGAGAGGUAACGGCUCACCAAGGCAACGAUCAGUAGCCGACCUGAGAGGGUGACCGGCCACAUUGGGACUGAGACACGGCCCAAACUCCUACGGGAGGCAGCAG
This 251-nucleotide ribosomal RNA is filed under the name uncultured bacterium. Its description in RNAcentral is "partial 16S ribosomal RNA". It matches the Rfam family "Bacterial small subunit ribosomal RNA", at positions 103 to 354 of the family's 1533-position model. The record is from RNAcentral.